Molecule: ribosomal RNA, 1398 nt
Filed under: metagenome
Description: bacterial SSU rRNA
Rfam family: Bacterial small subunit ribosomal RNA
Source: RNAcentral
GGGUGAGUAAUGUAUCGGAACGUACCUUUCAGUGGGGGAUAACGUAGCGAAAGUUACGCUAAUACCGCAUAUUCUGUGAGCAGGAAAGCAGGGGAUCGCAAGACCUUGCGCUGAUUGAGCGGCCGAUAUCAGAUUAGCUAGUUGGUGAGGUAAAGGCUCACCAAGGCGACGAUCUGUAGCGGGUCUGAGAGGAUGAUCCGCCACACUGGAACUGAGACACGGUCCAGACUCCUACGGGAGGCAGCAGUGGGGAAUUUUGGACAAUGGGGGCAACCCUGAUCCAGCCAUGCCGCGUGAGUGAAGAAGGCCUUCGGGUUGUAAAGCUCUUUCGGCCGGGGAGAAAUCGCAUGGGUUAAUACCCUGUGCGGAUGACGGUACCGGCAUAAGAAGCACCGGCUAACUACGUGCCAGCAGCCGCGGUAAUACGUAGGGUGCGAGCGUUAAUCGGAAUUACUGGGCGUAAAGCGUGCGCAGGCGGUUUUGUAAGACAGGCGUGAAAUCCCCGGGCUCAACCUGGGAACUGCGCUUGUGACUGCAAGGCUAGAGUAUGGCAGAGGGGGGUGGAAUUCCACGUGUAGCAGUGAAAUGCGUAGAGAUGUGGAGGAACACCAAUGGCGAAGGCAGCCCCCUGGGCCAAUACUGACGCUCAUGCACGAAAGCGUGGGUAGCAAACAGGAUUAGAUACCCUGGUAGUCCACGCCCUAAACGAUGUCAACUAGGUGUUGGGUGGGUAAAACCAUUUAGUACCGGAGCUAACGCGUGAAGUUGACCGCCUGGGGAGUACGGCCGCAAGGUUAAAACUCAAAGGAAUUGACGGGGACCCGCACAAGCGGUGGAUGAUGUGGAUUAAUUCGAUGCAACGCGAAAAACCUUACCUACCCUUGACAUGUCCAGGAGCCUGAAGAGAUUUGGGUGUGCCCGAAAGGGAACUGGAACACAGGUGCUGCAUGGCUGUCGUCAGCUCGUGUCGUGAGAUGUUGGGUUAAGUCCCGCAACGAGCGCAACCCUUGUCGUUAAUUGCCAUCAUUUAGUUGGGCACUUUAACGAGACUGCCGGUGACAAACCGGAGGAAGGUGGGGAUGACGUCAAGUCCUCAUGGCCCUUAUGGGUAGGGCUUCACACGUCAUACAAUGGUCGGUACAAAGGGUUGCCAACCCGCGAGGGGGAGCCAAUCCCAGAAAGCCGAUCGUAGUCCGGAUUGCAGGCUGCAACUCGCCUGCAUGAAGUCGGAAUCGCUAGUAAUCGUGGAUCAGCAUGUCACGGUGAAUACGUUCCCGGGUCUUGUACACACCGCCCGUCACACCAUGGGAGCGGGUUCCGCCAGAAGUAGGUAGCCUAACCGCAAGGGCGGCGCUUACCACGGCGGGGUUCGUGACUGGGGUGAAGUCGAACAAGGUA